GAUGAACGCUAGCGGGAGGCCUAACACAUGCAAGCCGAGCGGGAUGUGUUUGUUAGCUUGCUAACUAACAAUGAGAGCGGCGUACGGGUGCGUAGCACGUGUUCAACCUGCCUUUAUCUUGGGUAUAGCCUUUCGAAAGGAAGACUAAUACCCCAUAACAUAUUCAUUGGCAUCGGUGGAUAUUGAAAGCUCCGGCGGAUAGAGAUGGGCACGCGUAAGAUUAGCUAGGGGGUGAGGUAACGGCUCACCAAGGCUGCGAUCAUUAGGGGGCCGGAGAGGGGGAUACCCCACACUGGGACCGAGACACGGACCAGAAUGCUACGGGAGGGAGCAGUGAGGAAUACUGGACAAGGGGUGAGUGCCUGAUCCAGCCAACCCGCGUGAAGGAAUAAGGAGUUAGGGAUGGUAAACUUCUUUUAUACAGGGAUAAUCCUAUUCUAGUGAGCGUAGCUGACGGUACUGUAUGAAUAAGCACCGGCUAACUACGUG
This 489-nucleotide ribosomal RNA is filed under the name uncultured bacterium. RNAcentral's name for it is "partial 16S ribosomal RNA". It matches the Rfam family "Bacterial small subunit ribosomal RNA", at positions 28 to 507 of the family's 1533-position model. The record is from RNAcentral.